UACUUUGAAUUUUGAUAGAAGGUCAGCAGCUCUGGUAGUCAGGAUAUCCGAAAGCCAAAGCUGCCAGCUCGACAUCAGGUACUAGUGAAUAUCUCCACCGCUGCAGGAGUUCAUCUGCGAUGACAGUUAAAUGUACCGUACUUUCCUUAAAUUUGGAUCAUGUAGGCAGCUGGUCACUUACGCUUCAUUCUCUUCCAAUCUGUAGGUCGUUUGAGCGAAUCAAGGUGGAGAUGUGUUGUGUAAUUGCAAGAUGAACUUGGGUUUUACUUGUCAAUUUAGAAGACCAGAGAACUGCUGCAGACAGACCGGUAGCUGGCAAAGCGGUAGGAAACGACCGCUGGCCAAGCGCAAGCCUUGUCCAUCAGCAUCUUAAAAGAACUCUUUGUCUCCGGCAACGAUUGUCCGAGAUUUACGCUCCUACGCGUUUGCACGAUGACGCCACGCUCCCCGCUGUUAUUAUUAUUCGUUCAGAUACGCCGGAGCGAUAUUUCCGCGACGCGUCAGAGCGACGGCUAAUUUCGUCCUCGACGUCGUCCGCGGACGUCGGUGUGUGCGUGUGCGUGCGCGUGUACAAGUGUCGAGAGAAUCGAGUUCCACCUGCACACACGAAUCAACGCUAGGGAGAAAACGG
RNAcentral lists this unclassified non-coding RNA (631 nucleotides) under Athalia rosae (coleseed sawfly). Its description in RNAcentral is "misc RNA ENSAEAG00005005772.1". Lineage: Eukaryota; Metazoa; Arthropoda; Insecta; Hymenoptera; Athaliidae. The record is from RNAcentral.